UGUGAGUGAUGCAAAUAAUUCUUGGGCAAAGCCCCGUGCGUGGCAGGGAUGAGGCAAUGAUGUCAUUUGCUUCCCAGUGAGAUUCCCUGAAGGAUACAGCUGCCUUUCCAUGCCAGUGCCAGGAUUUGCACAAGGAGAGGAAGAAACAAGUGGGAAGAACAGACUGGAAUUUUUUUUGCUGAGACUUUGGGGAUGCAGCUCUGGGAGCACGAGAGGAUGGAGAACACCAGAAAAAACCACAAUAUUACAGAGCACAAACACCUUUGUCUGUGAUCUGAUGGGUUAUGACUGAUGUACCCCCAGCUGGGAAACAAGCAAAGCACGACCCGCAAACA
Long non-coding RNA from Manacus vitellinus (golden-collared manakin), 335 nucleotides. RefSeq lists it as uncharacterized. Lineage: Eukaryota; Metazoa; Chordata; Aves; Passeriformes; Pipridae. The transcript has 3 exons. The record is from RefSeq and is a predicted model, not a curated record.